AUACCAGCUGGCUGCAACUGUUUAUUAAAAACACAGCACUGUGCAAACACGAAAGUGGACGUAUACGGUGUGACGCCUGCCCGGUGCCGGAAGGUUAAUUGAUGGGGUCAGCGCAAGCGAAG
Molecule: ribosomal RNA, 122 nt
Filed under: Salmonella enterica subsp. enterica serovar Anatum
Lineage: Bacteria; Pseudomonadati; Pseudomonadota; Gammaproteobacteria; Enterobacterales; Enterobacteriaceae
Description: partial 23S ribosomal RNA
Rfam family: Bacterial large subunit ribosomal RNA
Source: RNAcentral